Molecule: non-coding RNA, 26 nt
Filed under: Rattus norvegicus (Norway rat)
Lineage: Eukaryota; Metazoa; Chordata; Mammalia; Rodentia; Muridae
Source: RNAcentral
CCUUCUUCUGUCCCACUCCUGUGCCU